CCUAAUACAUGCAAGUCGAACGCACUGACGUCGACUGAAGCUGCUUGCAGUGGACGUUGAUUGACGUGAGUGGCGGACGGGUGAGUAACACGUGGGUAACCUACCCUUAAGUGGGGGAUAACAUUUGGAAACAGAUGCUAAUACCGCAUAACCAUUCAGACCACAUGGUCUGAAUGGAAAAGACGGCCUUUGGCUGUCACUUUUGGAUGGACCCGCGGCGUAUUAGUUAGUUGGUAAGGUAACGGCUUACCAAGACAAUGAUACGUAGCCGACCUGAGAGGGUGAUCGGCCACAUUGGGACUGAGACACGGCCCAAACUCCUACGGGAGGCAGCAGUAGGGAAUCUUCCACAAUGGACGGAAGUCUGAUGGAGCAACGCCGCGUGAGUGAAGAAGGUUUUAGGAUCGUAAAACUCUGUUGUUGGAGAAGAACAGGGACUAGAGUAACUGUUAGUCCUUUGACGGUAUCCAACCAGAAAGCCACGGCUAACUACGUGCCAGCAGCCGCGGUAAUACGUAGGUGGCAAGCGUUGUCCGGAUUUAUUGGGCGUAAAGCGAGCGCAGGCGGUUUUUUAAGUCUGAUGUGAAAGCCUUCGGCUUAACCGAAGAAGUGCAUUAGAAACUGGGAAACUUGAGUGCAGAAGAGGACAGUGGAACUCCAUGUGUAGCGGUUGAAAUGCGUAGAUAUAUGGAAGAACACCAGUGGCGAAGGCUGCUUGUUCUGGUCUGCAACUG
This 734-nucleotide ribosomal RNA is filed under the name Loigolactobacillus coryniformis. RNAcentral describes it as "bacterial SSU rRNA". It matches the Rfam family "Bacterial small subunit ribosomal RNA", at positions 47 to 742 of the family's 1533-position model. The record is from RNAcentral. Lineage: Bacteria; Bacillati; Bacillota; Bacilli; Lactobacillales; Lactobacillaceae.